This is a non-coding RNA of Triticum urartu, 1258 nucleotides long. NCBI's taxonomy places the organism in Eukaryota, Viridiplantae, Streptophyta, Magnoliopsida, Poales, Poaceae. The record is from RefSeq and is a predicted model, not a curated record.
GCCCAGGAGGCAUUCGUCACCAACCAACCUGUCCUCUGCCUAGAGAGGAUGGCGCUUGCUGCCCGGUCGUCUGUGCGCUCCCUGGUGCUGCUCGUGUCGCACGGGAGGCCACAGCUGAGCUCAUUCUUCUCCUCCUCCGCCGCCGCCCAUCCCAGGAGCUGAUACUCCUCCGGCCGCUGCAGCCGUCCAGACCCCAGCUCCGCCAGAUCGUCCACGCACCAAGCAGGAAGAGACUGUUGUUCACCCACUCCCUGGGGUGCCACGCCCGCGCCCACGCCCACCCCCACGCCCACCUCAGGCCGUUAAAGAUGUAGCCGGCAAGGUUUAUCCGAACGCCCCAGAAGAUCCUAGUAGUGCACACCCAACUCCUGAUCAGGGUUCAUCUAGCACACUUGAACCUGUAUUUCACAUCUUUGAAGAUCCUCGACACCGGCUUGUUGAUCCACCGGGUCGACCUCCACUUCCAGCCGUUAAAAGUGCAGCCGGCAAGGCUUAUCUGGACGCCCCCGAAGAUCCCACCACACACCCAGCUCCUAAUACUGGUUCAUGUAACGCAUCUGAACCUGUAUCUGCUGGCAUCUUCGAAGAUCCUCGACACCCAGUUCCUGAUCCAUCAGCUAGGGGGCGUAGCGCCAUGACCGACGGCGACGAGCCUGCGCAGUGCACCGAGGAGCAUCCUAAGUACCCAGUUCCCGACAGUUCAACUGACGAGGGCCCUGUUGAGGAACAUCCUGCAUACGCUACUCCUGGUUACGGUUCAUGUAGCACACCUAAGCCUGUGCCUGAGAAACCUCCCUCCGGCACCUACGAAGAUGUUAAGCAGCGGGAUGUUGAUCCACCACGCCCCGCGCGCGAAGGCGUUGGACACCAAGUUCCUGAUCCGCCAGGUAGGGGGAGUAGCGCUUUGCCCGAGGCCAGAGCAGUGCACCCAGGGCCCUCCGAAAUACCCAGCCCUGGACAGUUCCAAGUGACGACAUCCUUCAGACUGAAGUCAUAGGUACGAACUAGAUCCUAGUAUCCUACUGCUAUUGUAUAGCAUCGGAGAAAAAACUGGGCAGCUUCCCUUUGGCUUCUCCCUGUACUGGGCUAUAUAUACUGUAGACUCGUAAUUUUAUUUGGGAUGAAGUGAUCCAAAUUCUAUCGUGUUAUACUAACAUAGUACAAACGGUGUGGACGUUGCGUCGAUGUGUACUUGUCCUCCAAAGAUUGUUAUGUAUUGCCUCUCAUAUAUAUAUACCUCAUGUAGUCUCAUCUAAAA